GCAGUAGUGGUUCAGUGGUUGAGUCUCUGGGUUACUGAUCAGAAGGUCUGGGGUUCAAUUCCCAGCAAUGAUA
Non-coding RNA from Ameiurus melas (black bullhead), 73 nucleotides. The record is from the annotation of a GenBank genome assembly. NCBI's taxonomy places the organism in Eukaryota, Metazoa, Chordata, Actinopteri, Siluriformes, Ictaluridae.